Molecule: ribosomal RNA, 253 nt
Filed under: uncultured bacterium
Lineage: Bacteria
Description: partial 16S ribosomal RNA
Rfam family: Bacterial small subunit ribosomal RNA
Source: RNAcentral
UACGGAGGGAGCUAGCGUUGUUCGGAAUUACUGGGCGUAAAGCGCGCGUAGGCGGCUUUGUAAGUUAGAGGGGAAAGCCCGGAGCUCAACUCCGGAACUGCCUUUAAAACUGCAUCGCUUGAAUCCAGGAGAGGUGAGUGGAAUUCCGAGUGUAGAGGUGAAAUUCGUAGAUAUUCGGAAGAACACCAGUGGCGAAGGCGGCUCACUGGACUGGUAUUGACGCUGAGGUGCGAAAGCGUGGGGAGCAAACAGG